AAGUCGUAACAAGGUUUCCGUAGGUGAACCUGCGGAAGGAUCAUGUAAACGUUCUUUUGAAAGAAUGGGUGCGGAUGUGUGGCACUUUACUGGGCUGCACAAACGCCCCGUUCUCCAAACCCAUCGCGAACUGGAUUUCGUAGCAGACAAGGAAAGGGGGGGGAUGGAGGUGUUCGUGGGCUCCUUCCUUCUAGGAGGGAGCGAGCCUGCUUGCACGUUCAUUUUUUUCCUUUGCUUCUGCGCACAUUUUUUUCUCAAAACCACUUUUUUCACAAAAUUUCAACGUAACGAACAUGUGUUGGAACGCAAAAGAAAAAGGGAAACGUUAAAAUUUCCUUCUUUUUUUUUCUCCGACCGCAUAUCAAUUUAUCAACUGCAAAAGAGAUAAAGAACAACUCUUAGCAACGGAUAUCUUGGUUCCC
This 422-nucleotide unclassified non-coding RNA is filed under the name fungal sp. RNAcentral's name for it is "partial internal transcribed spacer region". The stretch from base 1 to 46 matches the Rfam family "Eukaryotic small subunit ribosomal RNA", at positions 1786 to 1831 of the family's 1831-position model. Lineage: Eukaryota; Fungi. The record is from RNAcentral.